GCAGCUAGGCUAGCAUUGCCACGGGUUAUUUUGCGUUGAUUAAUAUCUGCGCUGCUAGCUGAUAACUCGAACCCAAAAAAAUUUUAACAAAAUUUAAAUUAAUUUUUAAAAGAAUAAUUAAUUAAAUCGGAAGAGUGUUUAAAAGCUGGUAGCUUUGUGUAACUCAAAAGACAAAUAUGAGUGGUCUAUAUCAAAUAAAUAAGUUAGAUGAAAAUAAUUAAGAUUCGUGGAGCAUACAUAUGCGAUCUGUGUUGGUGCAUUCUGGACUUUGGAGUGCAACCUCCGGAUAGAGGUGGAGAAACAUCGAUGCCAACAUCGAUGUCAUCGAUGUUUUCGAAACAUCGGUAACAUCGAUGUUUUACCAGGCAACAUCGAUGUUUUUCCAUCUCUAACGCGCAUCAAGAAGGAAAUACGUGAAAAUUUGUUCUGUUGGUGGUGUUGGCUGAGGUAGUGGAGUGGAGGCAUGGAGAGAUAUCUGAAACGAACAUUAAAAUCAGAUGAGAAUGUGGAGGAGCAAGUGCCAGCCCCAAAAAAAGAAGCGGCCAAAGCAUUGCAUUAUGUCCAUUCCUCGAGAGCAGCCAGCACCACCAACAAAAGAACCUACACGAUUUUCCUUCAUUAAAUCAAAAUUGGAUGCAAAAGUACAAUCAUUCCGGGCCGAUGCAAUUGUCCUGUUGCGUUGACAUAUGGAAAAGGAAAACCAGACCGAAAAGCGCGAUCCACUUGCAUAUUGGGAAAUAUCUACCGAAGAAACUUUCAAAAAGUUAUCCACAAAGCUUUUGCGAUCCCGCUUCAUCGUGCGAAUCAGAACGAGUACUUAGUAGAGCUGGACAACUUAUAUCCGACCGUCGCACUAGACUUUCAUCUUUCGUUGUUGACAAACUUUUGUUUUUAAACAAAAA
Long non-coding RNA from Drosophila biarmipes, 902 nucleotides. RefSeq lists it as uncharacterized. The transcript is spliced from 4 exons. Lineage: Eukaryota; Metazoa; Arthropoda; Insecta; Diptera; Drosophilidae. The record is from RefSeq and is a predicted model, not a curated record.